RNAcentral lists this ribosomal RNA (1525 nucleotides) under Citrobacter freundii. Its description in RNAcentral is "partial 23S ribosomal RNA". It matches the Rfam family "Bacterial large subunit ribosomal RNA", at positions 1292 to 2797 of the family's 2925-position model. Lineage: Bacteria; Pseudomonadati; Pseudomonadota; Gammaproteobacteria; Enterobacterales; Enterobacteriaceae. The record is from RNAcentral.
GAAUGCUGACAUAAGUAACGAUAAUGCGGGUGAAAAACCCGCACGCCGGAAGACCAAGGGUUCCUGUCCAACGUUAAUCGGGGCAGGGUGAGUCGACCCCUAAGGCGAGGCCGAAAGGCGUAGUCGAUGGGAAACAGGUUAAUAUUCCUGUACUUGGUGUUACUGCGAAGGGGGGACGGAGAAGGCUAUGUUAGCCGGGCGACGGUUGUCCCGGUUUAAGCAUGUAGGCGGAGGUUCCAGGUAAAUCCGGUACCUUUUUAACGCUGAGGUGUGAUGACGAGGCACUACGGUGCUGAAGUAACAAAUGCCCUGCUUCCAGGAAAAGCCUCUAAGCAUCAGGUAACACGAAAUCGUACCCCAAACCGACACAGGUGGUCAGGUAGAGAAUACCAAGGCGCUUGAGAGAACUCGGGUGAAGGAACUAGGCAAAAUGGUGCCGUAACUUCGGGAGAAGGCACGCUGAUAUGUAGGUGAAGUGAUUUACUCAUGGAGCUGAAAUCAGUCGAAGAUACCAGCUGGCUGCAACUGUUUAUUAAAAACACAGCACUGUGCAAACACGAAAGUGGACGUAUACGGUGUGACGCCUGCCCGGUGCCGGAAGGUUAAUUGAUGGGGUUAUCCGUAAGGAGAAGCUCUUGAUCGAAGCCCCGGUAAACGGCGGCCGUAACUAUAACGGUCCUAAGGUAGCGAAAUUCCUUGUCGGGUAAGUUCCGACCUGCACGAAUGGCGUAAUGAUGGCCAGGCUGUCUCCACCCGAGACUCAGUGAAAUUGAACUCGCUGUGAAGAUGCAGUGUACCCGCGGCAAGACGGAAAGACCCCGUGAACCUUUACUAUAGCUUGACACUGAACACUGGUCCUUGAUGUGUAGGAUAGGUGGGAGGCUUUGAAGUGUGGACGCCAGUCUGCAUGGAGCCAUCCUUGAAAUACCACCCUUUAAUGGCUGGUGUUCUAACGUGGACCCGUAAUCCGGGUUGCGGACAGUGUCUGGUGGGUAGUUUGACUGGGGCGGUCUCCUCCUAAAGAGUAACGGAGGAGCACGAAGGUUAGCUAAUCCUGGUCGGACAUCAGGAGGUUAGUGCAAAGGCAUAAGCUAGCUUGACUGCGAGAGUGACGGCUCGAGCAGGUGCGAAAGCAGGUCUUAGUGAUCCGGUGGUUCUGAAUGGAAGGGCCAUCGCUCAACGGAUAAAAGGUACUCCGGGGAUAACAGGCUGAUACCGCCCAAGAGUUCAUAUCGACGGCGGUGUUUGGCACCUCGAUGUCGGCUCAUCACAUCCUGGGGCUGAAGUAGGUCCCAAGGGUAUGGCUGUUCGCCAUUUAAAGUGGUACGCGAGCUGGGUUUAGAACGUCGUGAGACAGUUCGGUCCCUAUCUGCCGUGGGCGCUGGAGAAUUGAGGGGGGCUGCUCCUAGUACGAGAGGACCGGAGUGGACGCAUCACUGGUGUUCGGGUUGUCAUGCCAAUGGCAUUGCCCGGUAGCUAAAUGCGGAAGAGAUAAGUGCUGAAAGCAUCUAAGCACGAAACUUGC